Molecule: ribosomal RNA, 422 nt
Filed under: uncultured bacterium
Lineage: Bacteria
Description: partial 16S ribosomal RNA
Rfam family: Bacterial small subunit ribosomal RNA
Source: RNAcentral
AAUCUUCCACAAUGGACGGAAGUCUGAUGGAGCAACGCCGCGCGAGCGAAGAAGGUUUGCGGAUCGUAAAACUCUGUUGUUAGGGAAGAACAAGUAUCGGAGUCACUGCCGGUACCUUGACGGUACCUGACGAGAAAGCCACGGCUAACUACUUGCCAGCAGCAGCGGUAAUACGUAGGUGGCAAGCGUUGUCCGGAUUUAUUGGGCGUAAAACGCGGGCAGGCGGUCUUUUAAAUCUGAUGUGAAAUCUUACAGCUUAACUGUAAGCGGUCAUUGGAAACUGGGAGACUUGAGUGCAGAAGAGGAGAGUGGAAUUCCAUGUGUAGCGGUGAAAUGCGUAGAGGUAUGGAGGAACACCAGUGGCGAAGGCGACUCUCUGGUCUGUAACUGACGCUGAGGCGCGAAAGCGUGGGGAUCAAACA